GAUGAAGAACGCAUCGAAAUGCGAUAAGUAAUGUGAAUUGCAGAAUUCAGUGAAUCAUCGAAUCUUUGAACGCACCUUGCGCCUUUUGGUAUUCCGAAAGGCACACCUGUUUGAGCGUCAUGAAUACCUCAAUCUCCAUCUUUUCUUCGGAUUGAUGGGUGACUUGGAUGUUGAGCCCUGCUGGUAUGCUAUAUCAGCUGGCUUUAAACUUAUUAGCCGGCUCUGUACUGGAUCGGUUUGACUCGACGUGAUAAUAUUAUCGUUGAGGAUGCAUGUCUCAUGCAGCCGGAAAGUAUCAAAGCAGCUUCUAGCUUGCCUUUAGUGCACUUUUACAUUUUAGACCUCAGAUCAGGUGGGACUACCCGCUGAACUUAAGCAUAUCAAUAAGCGGAGGA
RNAcentral lists this unclassified non-coding RNA (395 nucleotides) under soil metagenome. Its description in RNAcentral is "partial contains 5.8S ribosomal RNA, internal transcribed spacer 2, and large subunit ribosomal RNA". The stretch from base 1 to 120 matches the Rfam family "5.8S ribosomal RNA", at positions 35 to 154 of the family's 154-position model. The record is from RNAcentral.